RNAcentral lists this ribosomal RNA (465 nucleotides) under uncultured bacterium. RNAcentral describes it as "partial 16S ribosomal RNA". It matches the Rfam family "Bacterial small subunit ribosomal RNA", at positions 28 to 507 of the family's 1533-position model. The record is from RNAcentral.
GACGAACGCUGGCGGCGUGCUUAACACAUGCAAGUCGUACGGUAAGGCCCUUUCGGGGGUACACGAGUGGCGAACGGGUGAGUAACACGUGAGUAACCUGCCCACAACUUUGGGAUAACGCUAGGAAACUGGUGCUAAUACUGGAUAUGUGCUCCUGCUGCAUGGUGGGGGUUGGAAAGCUCCGGCGGUUGUGGAUGGACUCGCGGCCUAUCAGCUUGCUGGUGGGGUAGUGGCCUACCAAGGCGGCGACGGGUAGCCGGCCUGAGAGGGUGACCGGCCACAUUGGGACUGAGAUACGGCCCAGACUCCUACGGGAGGCAGCAGUGGGGAAUAUUGCACAAUGGGCGCAAGCCUGAUGCAGCAACGCCGCGUGCGGGAUGACGGCCUUCGGGUUGUAAACCGCUUUCAGCAGGGACGAAGCUUUUUGUGACGGUACCUGCAGAAGAAGCACCGGCUAACUACGUG